AGCGUUUGUAACUUGUGUUUACAUUAGUUGCUUAGAAUUUUACACUUGUCUUCUUGGUGGCUUAUUUAAUUGAUAAAUCCAAAAGGCAAUCAUCGUUAACAUCUGGGGAAGAUGUUGUCAAAAUUAAGAACAGUGCAAUCAAAAAGAGAACGCGACAGAGGCUUGUGCUAAUACAAGAGUAAAUAUCGGCGUGGUGACAGCUCCGAGAUCUGAAGAGAUCUGACGCAAAUACGGCUUUUUAAAUGCUGAACAGAUCCCUGUUUUUUCCAGAUCCAGGAGUGAGAGAGAAAGAGAGAGCAGGAGCUUUUUUCCUCGUCUCCACAGGGAGUGAAGAGAAAUACUGGAUCUGCAGUGUUUGGGGCGUUGGGACAUGGCUACCGCGCUGUCAGGAGGAGACAAUAAAACAGCUUCAACCCAAAGCUGAAAGCUCCAUGAGUCUUUUAAGUUUUGGAGAAAGUGUCACACCUCUGGUCCAGGGGGAAGGCGAGCACGAAACACUGAGAACGCGGCAGAUGCAACACCUCCCAAGCUGAAGGGUUUCAACAAAAACAGCAGGAGAUGACACAGAUGGACCGAAUUAAUUUGGUUCCCUCCAUUUCCCGGAGAUGGGAAAGCACAAACAGGCACACGCGGGGAACAACACGACAUCGCGGCUGUCCUCCUGCAACCGCGCACUUGUGUUUUCUGUCCUGAGGAUAAAUGAUGCAAGGUCAUGUUUGCCUUUAAUCUUGUCAGCUUAUGUGUGAUGACAUCUUAAAUAUUGUUACUAUGGCAUAUGCACUAAUAAAAGAGGAAGAUAAGGUCUGAAUACA
Long non-coding RNA from Cyprinus carpio (common carp), 812 nucleotides. The record is from Ensembl. NCBI's taxonomy places the organism in Eukaryota, Metazoa, Chordata, Actinopteri, Cypriniformes, Cyprinidae.